CAGCCGCCGCGGUAAUACGGAGGAUGCGAGCGUUAUCCGGAUUUAUUGGGUUUAAAGGGUGCGUAGGCGGCUUUGUAAGUCAGCGGUGAAAUUUUGCAGCUUAACUGUAAAAGCGCCGUUGAUACUGUGAAGCUAGGAUUUGGUUGCUGUGGGCGGAAUGUGUGGUGUAGCGGUGAAAUGCAUAGAGAUCACACAGAAUAUCGAUUGCGAAGGCAGCUCACAAAGCCAAUAUUGACGCUGAGGCACGAAAGUGUGGGGAUCAAACAGGAUUAGAUACCCUGGUAGUCCACACUGUAAACGAUGAUAACUCGCUGUCGGCGAUAGACCGUCGGUGGCCAAGCGAAAGCGAUAAGUUAUCCACCUGGGGAGUACGACCGCAAGGUUGAAACUCAAAGGAUUGACGGGGCCGCACAAGCGGAGGAACAUGUGGUUAAUUCGAUGAUACGCGAGGAACCUUACCCGGGCUCGAACGGUGCAUGAAAGUUCAAGAGAUUGGACAGUCCUUCGGGACAUGUAUCGAGGUGCUGCAUGGUUGUCGUCAGCUCGUGCCGUGAGGUGUCGGCUUAAGUGCCAUAACGAGCGCAACCCUUGUCAUUAGUUACCAUCAGGUUAAGCUGGGGACUCUAGUGAGACUGCCACCGUAAGGUGUGAGGAAGGGGGGGAUGACGUCAAAUCAGCACGGCCCUUAUGUCCGGGGCGACACACGUGUUACAAUGGGGGGUACAGAGGGCAGCCAGUUAGUGAUAACGCGCCAAUCUCAAAAACCUCUCUCAGUUCGGAUUGGAGUCUGCAACUCGACUCCAUGAAGUUGGAUUCGCUAGUAAUCGCGCAUCAGCCAUGGCGCGGUGAAUACGUUCCCGGGCCUUGUACACACCGCCCGUCACACCAUGAGAGUCGGAAACACCCG
RNAcentral lists this ribosomal RNA (907 nucleotides) under uncultured Bacteroidota bacterium. RNAcentral describes it as "bacterial SSU rRNA". It matches the Rfam family "Bacterial small subunit ribosomal RNA", at positions 509 to 1423 of the family's 1533-position model. Lineage: Bacteria; Pseudomonadati; Bacteroidota. The record is from RNAcentral.